This 1288-nucleotide ribosomal RNA is filed under the name metagenome. RNAcentral's name for it is "bacterial SSU rRNA". It matches the Rfam family "Bacterial small subunit ribosomal RNA", at positions 196 to 1474 of the family's 1533-position model. The record is from RNAcentral.
GCAGGGGACCGCAAGGCCUUGCGCUCUUUGAGCGGCCGAUGUCAGAUUAGCUAGUUGGUGAGGUAAAGGCUUACCAAGGCGACGAUCUGUAGCGGGUCUGAGAGGAUGAUCCGCCACACUGGAACUGAGACACGGUCCAGACUCCUACGGGAGGCAGCAGUGGGGAAUUUUGGACAAUGGGGGCAACCCUGAUCCAGCCAUGCCGCGUGAGUGAAGAAGGCCUUCGGGUUGUAAAGCUCUUUCGGCCGGGAAGAAAUCGCAUGGGCCAAUACCCUGUGUGGAUGACGGUACCGGAAUAAGAAGCACCGGCUAACUACGUGCCAGCAGCCGCGGUAAUACGUAGGGUGCGAGCGUUAAUCGGAAUUACUGGGCGUAAAGCGUGCGCAGGCGGUUUUGUAAGACAGGCGUGAAAUCCCCGGGCUUAACCUGGGAACUGCGUUUGUGACUGUAAGGCUAGAGUACGGCAGAGGGGGGUGGAAUUCCACGUGUAGCAGUGAAAUGCGUAGAGAUGUGGAGGAACACCAAUGGCGAAGGCAGCCCCCUGGGUCGAUACUGACGCUCAUGCACGAAAGCGUGGGUAGCAAACAGGAUUAGAUACCCUGGUAGUCCACGCCCUAAACUAUGUCAACUAGGUGUUGGGUGGGUAAAACCAUUUAGUACCGUAGCUAACGCGUGAAGUUGACCGCCUGGGGAGUACGGCCGCAAGGUUAAAACUCAAAGGAAUUGACGGGGACCCGCACAAGCGGUGGACAUGUGGAUUAAUUCGAUGCAACGCGAAAAACCUUACCUACCCUUGACAUGCCAGGAACUUGCCAGAGAUGGCUUGGUGCCCGAAAGGGAGCCUGGACACAGGUGCUGCAUGGCUGUCGUCAGCUCGUGUCGUGAGAUGUUGGGUUAAGUCCCGCAACGAGCGCAACCCUUGUCGUUAAUUGCCAUCAUUUAGUUGGGCACUUUAACGAGACUGCCGGUGACAAACCGGAGGAAGGUGGGGAUGACGUCAAGUCCUCAUGGCCCUUAUGGGUAGGGCUUCACACGUCAUACAAUGGUCGGUACAAAGGGUUGCCAAGCCGCGAGGCGGAGCCAAUCCCAGAAAGCCGAUCGUAGUCCGGAUUGCAGGCUGCAACUCGCCUGCAUGAAGUCGGAAUCGCUAGUAAUCGUGGGUCAGCAUGUCACGGUGAAUACGUUCCCGGGUCUUGUACACACCGCCCGUCACACCAUGGGAGCGGGUUCCGCCAGAAGUAGGUAGCCUAACCGCAAGGGGGGCGCUUACCACGGCUGGGGUUCGUGA